AACGCGAAGAACCUUACCUGGGCUCGAACGGCUCACGAAAGUCUUUGGAAACAGAGAUUUCCCGCAAGGGACGGGAGUCGAGGUGCUGCAUGGCUGUCGUCAGCUCGUGUCGUGAGAUGUUGGGUUAAGUCCCGCAACGAGCGCAACCCUCGCCCUUAGUUGCCAUCAUUCAGUUGGGCUCUCUAAGGGGACUGCCGGUGAUAAGCCGCGAGGAAGGUGGGGAUGACGUCAAGUCCUCAUGGCCCUUACGGGCUGGGCUACACACGUGCUACAAUGGCGGUGACAGUGGGAUGCAAUGGGGCAACCCUGCGCAAAUCUCAAAAAGCCGUACUCAGUUCGGAUUGUGCUCUGCAACUCGAGCACAUGAAGUUGGAAUCGCUAGUAAUCGCAGAUCAGCACGCUGCGGUGAAUACGUUCCCGGGCCUUGUACACACCGGUACUA
This 442-nucleotide ribosomal RNA is filed under the name uncultured bacterium. RNAcentral describes it as "bacterial SSU rRNA". It matches the Rfam family "Bacterial small subunit ribosomal RNA", at positions 958 to 1398 of the family's 1533-position model. The record is from RNAcentral.